Molecule: ribosomal RNA, 253 nt
Filed under: uncultured bacterium
Lineage: Bacteria
Description: partial 16S ribosomal RNA
Rfam family: Bacterial small subunit ribosomal RNA
Source: RNAcentral
UACAGAGGGGGCAAGCGUUGUCCGGAAUCAUUGGGCGUAAAGAGCGUGUAGGCGGCCUGUUAAGUCUUGCGUGAAAUCUCGGGGCUCAACCCCGAGCGGUCGUGAGAAACUGGCAGGCUAGAGUGCGGGAGAGGAGAGUGGAAUUCCUGGUGUAGCGGUGAAAUGCGCAGAUAUCAGGAAGAACACCCGUGGCGAAGGCGGCUCUCUGGGACGGUACUGACGCUGAGGCGCGAAAGCGUGGGUAGCAAACAGG